UGGAGCAUGUGGUUUAAUUCGAAGCAACGCGAAGAACCUUACCAGGUUUUGACAUCCCGAUGCUAUUUCUAGAGAUAGAGAGUUACUUCGGUACAGUCGGUGACAGGUGGUGCAUGGUUGUCGUCAGCUCGUGUCGUGAGAUGUUGGGUUAAGUCCCGCAACGAGCGCAACCCUUAUUGCUAGUUACCAUCAUUGAGUUGGGGACUCUAGCGAGACUGCCAGCGAUAAGCUGGAGGAAGGUGGGGAUGACGUCAAAUCAUCAUGCCCCUUAUGACCUGGGCUACAAACGUGAUACAAUGGCUGGAACAAAGGGAGGCGAAGGGGUGACCUGGAGCGAAACCCAAAAAUACAGUCUCAGUUCGGAUUGAAGUCUGCAACUCGACUUCAUGAAGUCGGAAUCGCUAGUAAUCGCGGAUCAGAACGCCGCGGUGAAUACGUUCCCGGGCCUU
Molecule: ribosomal RNA, 449 nt
Filed under: uncultured Acholeplasma sp.
Lineage: Bacteria; Bacillati; Mycoplasmatota; Mollicutes; Acholeplasmatales; Acholeplasmataceae
Description: bacterial SSU rRNA
Rfam family: Bacterial small subunit ribosomal RNA
Source: RNAcentral